RNAcentral lists this long non-coding RNA (1040 nucleotides) under Homo sapiens (human). RNAcentral describes it as "HSALNT0079593". The record is from RNAcentral. Lineage: Eukaryota; Metazoa; Chordata; Mammalia; Primates; Hominidae.
CGGUUCUCUAAUUUGACUCAGCUUCAGAUUGGAAUGUUUCUCUCCUCACUGGGAAAAGCUCCUUUGGUCUCAGUGAACUCAGAGGUGGAGAAAGUCAUAAGAAUCAGGGAGCCUGCCCCAAAUUGCCUCCUAUGAUAACUUUCCACAAAGACUGGAGGGGAGGCUUCAAACAUCUUCCUGCAGUGUCCAGCAAGACAGCGAGGCAGACUCCCUUUCUCCUGCCAAAGCCACGUGGAGCCAGACAGAACCACAAGCAUACCUGUGGUGCUUGGAGGCCCAAGUAGAAACUUGAAUGCUCACGGCUGCAUUGGCAGCUUCUACUUGCCUGCCUGGAUCACCGUUCCUCAUGAGAACUUGGAAAAGCAGGACUAUCAUUCUUGCUUGACAGACGAAGAAACCAAGCCUCAGGACUGCGUGCAAUUCUACUUGGAGAUCUUCAUAACACCUUAAGGGAAAAAUCCUUUUUGAAAGAAAAACAAGUCUGGGUGGUGCUUGAAAAUUCAGAAGGCAGCUAGAAACUCUGCCAAUUACAACUAUUUACAACUUCAGGGAGACAAAGGAAACUCCAGCUCAUCUCCCACAUCAUUGAUUGAGAGGACCAUUUUCUGACUGUCUGCACACGUUUCCUAUACUACCCUUUAAUGCAACAAUGGGAUGAAGAGAUGAAGACUUCUAGCAGGCUACCUCAGAAAGGUUGCUGACCAAAGGCUGUAUGGACCAAAAAGUCAUAACACCACCCUGGAUGAAAGGACAUUUACCUAAGGAAUUACCCGCUCUCAAUUCUUCCCAGGGAUGGGCAUUUGAAUUAUUUCCAGUUUUUGGCUAUUAUGAAAAAAACUGCUAUGAACAUUCAUACACAAGUGUGUGUGUGGACCCAUGUUUUCACUGAUCAAGGCCUAAAUACCUACGGUAAGUAUACAUUUAACCUUAUAAGAAAAUGCAAAACUAUUUUUCCAAAGUAGUAUCAUUUUACAUUUCUUCUAACAACAUAUGAGAAUGGCAGUUGCUCUACUAAUAUGGUUUGGCUUUGUGUCCCCACC